GAAAAAACAGUGGGGCUAAAGACAUAUCACUGUAGAAAGGGAGUAGAUGGUAGAAGCUUGAAACAGAGGAGAGACCAUUGGGCGAAAGGACUGGAGUGCAGACAACAGUGCUGAAGAGAGGCUGAGGAUUAAAGAGGUACUAGCAGGCAGCAGCUCUAAAGAAGCUAUUGGAUUCUCAGGCUAAGACAUGAAAAGGUUUACCAUGGAACUUAAUACCAUACUUGUAUGGGAUUAUGCCUCAGAAUUGGAGAUUGAGGGACUGCACAUGGAUGCUUCAUAGAGA
Molecule: long non-coding RNA, 283 nt
Organism: Vidua macroura (Pin-tailed whydah)
Lineage: Eukaryota; Metazoa; Chordata; Aves; Passeriformes; Viduidae
Exons: 3
Source: RefSeq, a predicted model, not a curated record